Molecule: ribosomal RNA, 429 nt
Filed under: Chloroflexota bacterium
Lineage: Bacteria; Bacillati; Chloroflexota
Description: Chloroflexi bacterium partial 16S ribosomal RNA
Rfam family: Bacterial small subunit ribosomal RNA
Source: RNAcentral
UGGGGAAUAUUGCACAAUGGGCGCAAGCCUGAUGCAGCCAUGCCGCGUGUGUGAAGAAGGCCUUCGGGUUGUAAAGCACUUUCAGCGGGGAGGAAGGCGUUAAGGUUAAUAACCUUGGCGAUUGACGUUACCCGCAGAAGAAGCACCGGCUAACUCCGUGCCAGCAGCCGCGGUAAUACGGAGGGUGCAAGCGUUAAUCGGAAUUACUGGGCGUAAAGCGCACGCAGGCGGUCUGUCAAGUCGGAUGUGAAAUCCCCGGGCUCAACCUGGGAACUGCAUUCUAAACUGGCAGGCUAGAGUCUUGUAGAGGGGGGUAGAAUUCCAGGUGUAGCGGUGAAAUGCGUAGAGAUCUGGAGGAAUACCGGUGGCGAAGGCGGCCCCCUGGACAAAGCCUGACGCUCAGGUGCGAAAGCGUGGGGAGCAAACAGG